RNAcentral lists this ribosomal RNA (1123 nucleotides) under Klebsiella pneumoniae. Its description in RNAcentral is "bacterial SSU rRNA". It matches the Rfam family "Bacterial small subunit ribosomal RNA", at positions 367 to 1477 of the family's 1533-position model. Lineage: Bacteria; Pseudomonadati; Pseudomonadota; Gammaproteobacteria; Enterobacterales; Enterobacteriaceae. The record is from RNAcentral.
UCCAAUGAGAGCAAACCUAAUAGCACCUUCACGGAUGUUGAAAAAAGCUUUCGGUUUGUAAAGAACUUUACGCGCGGAGGAAAGCGCAUAAGGUUAAUUAACUAUAUCGAAUGACUUUUCUCGCAGGAGAAGCAACCGGCCUACUCCGGUGCCGCAGCCGCGGUAAUAUCGGGGGGGGCAAGCGUUAUCCGAAAUAACUGGGCGUAACCGCCAGGAGGCGGUCUGUCAACUCGGAUAUGAAAACCCCGGGCUCCACCUGGGAACCGCAUCGAAACUGGCAGGCUAGAGUCUUGUAGAGGGGGGUAGAAAUUCCAGGUGUAGCGGUGAAAUGCGUAGAGGAUCUGGAGGAAUUCCGGUGGCGAAAGGCGGCCCCCUGGACAAAGACUGACGUUCAGGUGCGAAAGCGUGGGGAGCAAACAGGAUUAGAUACCCUGGUAGUCCACGCUGUAAACGAAUGUCGAUUUGGAGGUUGUGCCCUUGAGGCGUGGCUUCCCGGAGCUAACGCGUUAAAAUCGACCGCCUGGGGAGUACGGCCGCAAGGUUAAAACUCAAAUGAAUUGACGGGGGCCCGCACAAGCGGUGGAGCAUGUGGUUUAAUUCGAUGCAACGCGAAGAACCUUACCUGGUCUUGACAUCCACAGAACUUACCAGAGAUGGAUUGGUGCCUUCGGGAACUGUGAGACAGGUGCUGCAUGGCUGUCGUCAGCUCGUGUUGUGAAAUGUUGGGUUAAGUCCCGCAACGAGCGCAACCCUUAUCCUUUGUUGCCAGCGGUUAGGCCGGGAACUCAAAGGAGACUGCCAGUGAUAAACUGGAGGAAGGUGGGGAUGACGUCAAGUCAUCAUGGCCCUUACGACCAGGGCUACACACGUGCUACAAUGGCAUAUACAAAGAGAAGCGACCUCGCGAGAGCAAGCGGACCUCAUAAAGUAUGUCGUAGUCCGGAUUGGAGUCUGCAACUCGACUCCAUGAAGUCGGAAUCGCUAGUAAUCGUAGAUCAGAAUGCUACGGUGAAUACGUUCCCGGGCCUUGUACACACCGCCCGUCACACCAUGGGAGUGGGUUGCAAAAGAAGUAGGUAGCUUUAACGUCGGGAGGCGCCAUAGAGAUUAUACCCCCCCGCAA